RNAcentral lists this ribosomal RNA (253 nucleotides) under uncultured bacterium. RNAcentral's name for it is "partial 16S ribosomal RNA". It matches the Rfam family "Bacterial small subunit ribosomal RNA", at positions 524 to 776 of the family's 1533-position model. The record is from RNAcentral.
UACGAAGGGGGCUAGCGUUGUCCGGAAUCACUGGGCGUAAAGGGCGCGUAGGCGGCUCGGUAAGUCGGGUGUGAAAUCCUGCGGCUUAACCGCAGGACUGCCUUCUAAACUGUCGAGCUCGAGCACGGUAGAGGCAGAUGGAAUUCCCGGUGUAGCGGUGGAAUGCGUAGAGAUCGGGAAGAACAUCAGUGGCGAAGGCGGUCUGCUGGGCCGUUGCUGACGCUGAGGCGCGACAGCGUGGGGAGCAAACAGG